GUCAACCAGGAUGUGAGCGAUCAUUUUUAUGGAAGUCGUGUGUGUUGAGUGCGUGCGAGUAUGCGAGAGUGACUGUUUGCGUGAAUGUGUGUGUUGUGAGAGUGUGCGAUCAAUUUUAAAAAUCUACACCGUGAUCUUAUUUGAUCUGAUCCGAGUUUGCCCCUGCUCGGUUUCAGAGAUGAUAAUAACCGACUCGGGAGCUUCUGUAGCGAUGACCGUGAGGCAUGUUAACACAACUCGGGGCAUCCGCAAUUGAAUUUGUGGUAAGAAAUGAUGAGUCGAUCAGAUAUACUAGAGCAUGCAGGGUGCUGAGUUUCGACCCAGUGUUCCCUGUUUGUUCAGUGAGUAUAGAGGCGAUUCUGAUCUCU
Xyrauchen texanus (razorback sucker) is the source of this 368-nucleotide non-coding RNA. RefSeq annotates it as small Cajal body-specific RNA 2. The transcript has a single exon. NCBI's taxonomy places the organism in Eukaryota, Metazoa, Chordata, Actinopteri, Cypriniformes, Catostomidae. The record is from RefSeq and is a predicted model, not a curated record.